This 409-nucleotide long non-coding RNA is filed under the name Olea europaea subsp. europaea. The record is from RNAcentral. Lineage: Eukaryota; Viridiplantae; Streptophyta; Magnoliopsida; Lamiales; Oleaceae.
AGCUAUGGUAUUUUUUCCAGUCUCUAACCUUUGCAAAUUCUUCUAGUUUCUUUGACAGAUCUUUCAAGCUGAUGUCCACUGCUUUUCCUUGCCAAAUUUCUUCUUCCAUGGCUUGUUAUGCUACUUUUUCACAGCCUUUACGCCAAUGCAAGAGGGACUUUCUGUUGGGUGAUAUUGGAUCUCUCUCAUCCCCGAAGCUAGCUCAAGAGGCGAGACUUUCUUUCACACUUAUAAACUGAAUGCUAACAUCAUCCACAACCGGUGUGGGACAACCUCAACAAGCUCCCCCUCACACAUCGGGUUUUGCGAAAGACCAAUCACGUCUCCCUCCACACAUUGGGGCUUGCGGGAGACCAAACCCGUCUCUCCCUCAUAUAAACCCGUAUCUCUGUAUAUUGUUGGACAUGAA